This 371-nucleotide long non-coding RNA is filed under the name Homo sapiens (human). RNAcentral describes it as "non-protein coding lnc-SLC4A5-2:8". The record is from RNAcentral. Lineage: Eukaryota; Metazoa; Chordata; Mammalia; Primates; Hominidae.
CCCUGCUCAGGUGGUUCCCCCACCACAGAAGCUCUUCCCAGCAGUGUUCUUUGGCUUCACUGUUCAGUUUGUUUGAUUCACCCACUCUCUCUCAAGUACUUGUUCUGUUAGAGAGUCUUAUACCUGCACCCCUAACCCUUAAUCCAGUAGAACUGCCUGCCUGCGCCUUGGUGGGCCUCACCAGCUUUCUCUCCCCACAGCUGCCAAGAGCCCGUCGGCCCAACUUAUGGAGCAAGUGGCUCAGCUUAAGUCCCUGAGUGACACCGUCGAGAAGCUCAAGGAUGAGGUCCUCAAGGAGACAGUAUCUCAGCGCCCUGGAGCCACAGUACCCACUGACUUUGCCACCUUCCCUUCAUCAGCCUUCCUCAGGG